AUCAGAUAUAAUUCUCUUUUCUGGCCUGGAGGUAGAAGUGUCUGCAUUUCUGAUCUUAAAAAGAAAUAGGCUGGCUGAUAAAAGGAAUACUUCCAGUUUUCAUCUACCAGCUGAGUCCCAAAAGAAUAAGACAAGGCGGAGGGCACAGAGAAGAUAUGCACUAAUAAACUCGGACCGAGUGUACCCUCAGCAAGUUUGCAGAUGACACAAACCUGG
Long non-coding RNA from Catharus ustulatus (Swainson's thrush), 216 nucleotides. RefSeq lists it as uncharacterized. Lineage: Eukaryota; Metazoa; Chordata; Aves; Passeriformes; Turdidae. The transcript is spliced from 3 exons. The record is from RefSeq and is a predicted model, not a curated record.